Molecule: ribosomal RNA, 267 nt
Filed under: uncultured bacterium
Lineage: Bacteria
Description: partial 16S ribosomal RNA
Rfam family: Bacterial small subunit ribosomal RNA
Source: RNAcentral
CGUCGGCGACCGGCGCACGGGUGCGUAACGCGUAUGCAACCUACCCAUUACAGGGGGAUAACACUGAGAAAUCGGUACUAAUACCCCAUAACAUCCAGGGAGGCAUCUUCUUGGGUUGAAAACUCCGGUGGUAAUGGAUGGGCAUGCGGCGCAUUAGCUAGACGGCGGGGUGACGGCCCACCGUGGCGACGAUGCGUAGGGGUUCUGAGAGGAAGGCCCCCCACACUGGGACUGAGACACGGCCCAGACUCCUACGGAAGGCAGCAG